GAUUUAUCACAUAUAAGCACGUGCUCAACGAUUAUGGAAAUCUGUUUGUCCUAUUUCCAUCUGUGAAUUUUGCAGCUGGGCCUGACUGUUAUUUCAUUCAAUCUAUUAUGGCACUUGCAGGCAAGAAAAGAAAGCGAAGCCCUUGCUGCUGAAGGUGGAUGGACUGUUGUGGUACAUCACAAGGGUCGGAAAAAGACAACAGAUACUGAAAGUGGAAUUACUGUGGGUUCUGUUGCCCAUGCUGCUGUUCUGGAAAAUAUGGCCAAGAAGAAAAGUAAAGAUGUUGGAUUAGAUUUCUACCGGUUCCAGAAAAGAGAGGCCCAGAGGAAUGAGAUUAUGACUCUUCAAAGCAAAUUCGAGCAGGAUAAAAAGCGGAUACAGCAAUUGAGGGCUAAAAGAAAGUUCCGGCCCUACUGAAUGCUGCCGACAAUCUACAAAGAAAGAUCAAUGGCCAAAGCAUCUCACCUGUUCUUUCGAUUAUUAGAAUUUUAUGUUUGAGGAUGGUUCAUUACCUUAACAAUUAAAAACCUUGCUUUCUUUCCCUUCCUUUUUUUGCUUGUAGGAGUGAUGAGAAAAACCAAUUGCACAAUGAUUUAAUGUGAUACAUGUACCGUUUUGAGAUCAAUUACAAAGAUGCUUAAGUUUUUGAAUUA
Molecule: non-coding RNA, 653 nt
Organism: Camellia sinensis
Lineage: Eukaryota; Viridiplantae; Streptophyta; Magnoliopsida; Ericales; Theaceae
Source: RefSeq, a predicted model, not a curated record